This 1459-nucleotide long non-coding RNA is filed under the name Bos indicus x Bos taurus (hybrid cattle). RNAcentral describes it as "lncRNA (ENSBIXG00005014675.1)". Lineage: Eukaryota; Metazoa; Chordata; Mammalia; Artiodactyla; Bovidae. The record is from RNAcentral.
GGGAUUUUGGUAUCUGCUGGGGUUACUGGUGUUUUGGAGUCUUACGGAGACUAGGUUAUGGGAUAUAAAGACGACCUAUGUCUCUUCCUACAUUUUAUUCUGCCUUUGCCUGAAGCUCAGCUGCUGACUUACUUGUGGAGGUUGACAGUUCUGACUGAGGUCUGGUCCAAGUUGAGAAUGGUCCAGAGACAUGCGUGUGUCUUCUAAACCCAUUUCCCCGCACCAGACUGACGCCGCCUGGCUGCUUGCCGCUCUCCUGUAGGCAUGCUAGAUGAGACAGGCCGUGGUGUAUAUGGCAUAUAUGCCAUGCUGUAUAUGCAUGUCCUUUGGUUCUACGUGCAGUUCCAUUCCUUCUCUCUUAUUCAAGGAAGUAUGUGGCUUUGCAGGAUGUGGAUUUUGGAUGAGCUGGAAAUAGAACCAUUUCCUUCUAGCUCGGAGUUGCAGGGAGAGAAGGUAUGAUACAAAAGAAUUUUCUCUGUUUCUCCAGGCUUAAUGCUGUGCUCAAUUGUCUUUAAUUUUCUUGUCAGAACAGACAGGUUAAAUAUCAUAUCUCCUUCGCCCUCUGCCAGCAUCUCCUGGCCUGCUAAGCUUGGGCUGUAGUUAAAUACAUUUUAGCAGCAGCUUUUUUGUUUCUUUUCUUUUAAAAGAGCCAAGUAAAGAGUAAACAUGUUGUUUCUUUGCUUUCCCAUUUAAGUAAAUCUCUCUCUUUUUCAUUUCUAAAAGUCUCUUCGCUCUAGUGGAUUUGGUGCUUACAUGAAUCUCAUCAACUCUUAAUGCAUGCAUUUUUGGAAGAAGCAUUAGAAAAUAAUCCCUCUGCCUCUUUCACUCUGCCUGAGCCCCCAGCUAGUCUAGCUAAAAAGCCAUUUCUGCAUAAAAAUGCCAUCAUCCUUUGGUCAAACACAUAGCUGAGAGAGUGUUCCGUGGUUAACUUGUAAUUGGUUAAUUUGUAUUAUGCGAGUUCCAUUCCUCUCUCUGUUGACAAAGGCAGCUUUGUCUACCAGUAGCACUGCCCCAUGGAUGGAAAUGUCCUGCAUCCCUGGUGUCCAGUAUGCAGCCGCUGGCCACAAGGUGAGCGCUUGAAAUAUAUGCCUUGUGCAACUGAAGAACCAUUUUCAGCUUUAUUUAAUCUUAAUUCAUUGAAAUGAGAAAAAGCCAUAUGUGGCUUUUGUGGACGUGCAGGUCUAUGAACAAGAUCGCUCUUGAUUAGAAGGGAAUAACUCCUGCCCUCUCCCCCGUGUGCUGCUCUACAGACCACCUUGAACGCCUGGUGAGGGCUUACAUGUCCCCCUGAGGGGAGUGGGGUGGGGUGGUUGGCUUCCUGAACUGCUCCGGACUCCUCUUCCACCAAGCACACCACUGCUCUCAGCUCUCAGUGGUCCCGGAGUACAUCUGGUCAUAGGGGGGAUGGUAGGUCCCACAGCAGUGGCAGAGCCUGAGCUACAGGUGGGGAGCUCUUAGA